ACAAAGACGCCGUGUGCCAGGUGGCUGACAUUGUUGUGGCUCAGCUCCAGGCGCUCCAGGUGAAAGAGGCCACUGAAGCUGCCCAGCGGCACACGUGAUAUGUUGUUGUACUUGAGCGUUCUGAGGGAGAAGGGAAUGUCAGCUUCUGCAGACGCGUCAGGUUGGCAAAGAUAUUGUCCCGCAGGGUGAGAUUGUUGCGGAUGAUGAUCAGAUUGGUGACCUCCGAGCUGAGACGCGGAAAGCGACGCAGUUUCGCAUAGCGACCGCAGUAGAGAAUGGUUCGCUGGCCGCACUGACAGGCCUUCGGAUAUGUGACGAUAUCUACGGGAUCACAAGUAAGUUAUUGCUCAACUAAAUAGAAAUUUUUGGAGUGUAAUUGAUUUGGGGCAACCACUCACCACAAGUCAUGUUUAGAGUUAGGCUCUGAUUGCGGGGCACCAUCGGCGUGGACAAGUCCGCACCGCUCGCAUUCGCAGCGCUGGAGAUUAGGCGCUGUUGCUUCUUUUCAAUCGCAUUACGCACAAUCUUGUCGGCAAUCUCCUUGCUGCCAUAGAGGAGUCCGCACUCCACCGGAUUCUCGUCGCUGCUGUCGGCGCAGUCCAGCCGACUGUCGCACAUCUGGCGCCUUGGAACGCACAGCGUGCCGUUGUCGCAGGCGAAGCUGGCCGCGGGGCAGGGUCCUGGGAAAAGGACAACGCAGCGAACAGAUCCCAAAUUAAUUAUCACUCAAGGACAGCUGAGCAUAUUGCAUUUGAGUCGCACACAUAGUUUAGUGAUUUUAUCCAAAACAUAUGUAUUUCCUACGAAUGCUUUGUCUUUAAGAAACCAUCUUCACCUUUGCUUGAACCUCUGAUAAUUUCCAUGCCCACACUGCGUAUGAGUAAUUAUUUUAAUCUCUAACAAACAAACUUUAAGCUCCAGCUGACAACUUAAUUGUCAUAAACUCUAUCAAACCAAGUAGUUCAGUUUAUGGUUCGCCUUUUUGUCAACACAUGACAAUUAAACUUAAUGUGCAAAAAAAAAGUUUUGUCUGUCGUUUCUUUGAUUUUUGAGAGCUUUGCUUUGUUAACAAUAUGUGUUUUCAAGCGUUUAAAUCAAGUACAUGUAUCGAAAUAAAUUAUUGUGCCAUUGUGGCUAAUUUAACUUCAAAA
Drosophila yakuba is the source of this 1151-nucleotide long non-coding RNA. RefSeq lists it as uncharacterized. The transcript is spliced from 2 exons. The record is from RefSeq and is a predicted model, not a curated record. NCBI's taxonomy places the organism in Eukaryota, Metazoa, Arthropoda, Insecta, Diptera, Drosophilidae.